RNAcentral lists this long non-coding RNA (679 nucleotides) under Triticum aestivum (bread wheat). RNAcentral describes it as "long non-coding RNA (TAES_LNC007926)". The record is from RNAcentral. Lineage: Eukaryota; Viridiplantae; Streptophyta; Magnoliopsida; Poales; Poaceae.
CAACAAAGCAACUGUUGCGGUGGAAAGGAUCACACCCGCUGUCCAUUUGCAAACUUACACUAGGGAAGAGGGUUGCUCUUGAGCCAUCCGAUUUAAAAAUAGAUCGGAUGGCCACAAAGUUUCACGUCCCCCCUGCUUUACAUUUCUUGAUAUUAUAACAGAGUUCAUCCCGAUUGAACUUUCCUCCAUGACUUUAUUUACAGCCCCAACAUGUGUUACGAACACUAUACACGUGGCACACCCGACUACUUCAUUGGUACUUACACAUCCUCUACAGAAGAAAGAAGCAUCAUCACUUCACGCUGUGAGUCAGGACUCAGGAGCCGUGGCAUCAACCAUUGAUCAUUAUGUACAGUGCAAGCCCUGGUCGCCAUAGCUCGGUGGUAAGUGUACAAAGCACCCGCCGGCCGCCUGCGUGCAUGAGCAUGGCGCACGGCGCGCUCAGCCGGCCGGCCGGCGGCCAUACCGCACGCUUCAUCCGCUCCUCCUCCUCCUCUCGAGCAUCUCGCUGAACUCCUCGUCGGUGGCCUUGAGCAUGUCCGGCAGCGGCAGGUCGACGCCGGCGUCGGCGGCUGCGCGGUGCCGCGGCGCGAUCCGCUUCUCGAGGCUGAAGGUGAAGUACUGCGGGAAGGCCUUGACGUCCUCCACGCCGCCGCCCAUCUCCUCCACCAGGUACUCG